CGUGAGGGAAAGGCGAAAAGAACCCCGGCGAGGGGAGUGAAAAAGAACCUGAAACCGUGUACGUACAAGCAGUGGGAGCACAGGUUUACCUGUGUGACUGCGUACCUUUUGUAUAAUGGGUCAGCGACUUAUAUUCUGUAGCAAGGUUAACCGAAUAGGGGAGCCGGAGGGAAACCGAGUCUUAAUUGGGCGUUAAGUUGCAGGGUAUAGACCCGAAACCCGGUGAUCUAGCCAUGGGCAGGUUGAAGGUUGGGUAACACUAACUG
Molecule: ribosomal RNA, 266 nt
Filed under: Salmonella enterica subsp. enterica serovar Agona
Lineage: Bacteria; Pseudomonadati; Pseudomonadota; Gammaproteobacteria; Enterobacterales; Enterobacteriaceae
Description: partial 23S ribosomal RNA
Rfam family: Bacterial large subunit ribosomal RNA
Source: RNAcentral